This 853-nucleotide long non-coding RNA is filed under the name Paramuricea clavata. Lineage: Eukaryota; Metazoa; Cnidaria; Anthozoa; Malacalcyonacea; Plexauridae. The record is from RNAcentral.
GUAUCUAGAUUAUAGGCUUUAUAGGGUUGCACUGGAUCUCAUUAUACAGGCCAGAACUGAGAAAGUCACAGUCAGACAUCAAGUCAGAAACAAUUUUAUUGGUAGAUAAUGUCACUUCCAGUCCAUGCAGGUGGAUUUAUUUGGGGUUUUGUUCAUUUCAGUCCUCUCUCUGUGCACCCCUGUAUCAGAUGCAACCACCUGAAACUAAGAAACCAAUGAACUUCAACAUUUCAAGUGAAAGACCUAUAGUAUUAUUUUUCAGGUAGUUGCAUGAUACAUUCAAGUCUUUAAAUAGUGUGGUGGCUUAAGCUACUUUUCUCAUUUCCUUUCUUCACUUUCUUACUUUUUUGUCUCUAGUGAAAACUUCAUUUUACAACAUUUUAAUUAUAUAAUCUCUUUUUGGUCUAAUUGCAGAAUUAUUUGAUGGUGAGACAGUUCAUAGUUCAACCUCUUUAUUAAAGAAUUAUCAAUUAUUAGAAAUAAUUAAUUUUGUUAGCAGUGAUAAAACUAUCCAGACAAGUUAUUAUUGUGACUUUGUAGCCAGAUGGGUAUGAUUUUGCUUUGGCUGUUCAGCAUUUUGAUCCAUUGUGAUAUGUCUUGUGGUGCCUGUGAAUGAUUUUACCUGCAAAAUGAAUGACAGAAUAUCAGAAUGUAACAUUACAUUAAGAUACAUCCUUACAUUGCAAUAAAACUAUGUAGUAGAUGGUCAGUGUGAAGAAUAUGGUCUUUGACACUCUUUGUAUAUAAUAAACAUGCUAUUGUGUAAUGGAAAUGAUCAAAUAAAGUUAUUUCUGCAACAGCCCUUGCAUUCAAACACCUUAUUUGUAUUUUUCUUGUUCAUGCUUGAGCAUCA